This 669-nucleotide long non-coding RNA is filed under the name Zostera marina. Its description in RNAcentral is "long non-coding RNA (ZMAR_LNC005821)". Lineage: Eukaryota; Viridiplantae; Streptophyta; Magnoliopsida; Alismatales; Zosteraceae. The record is from RNAcentral.
GGAGCGGAACCGGGGUGACACCAUCGAGGGAGGAGGGGUUAGGAAUGACGGACUGUGAAGAGAUUCAAGAGGAGAGAAUUAUAAACAGAAUGGGUAGGAUCUGGAAGGGGGGAGAGAUUUGGGCUACUUGGAUGAAGAAGAGGUACAUAGGAAUAAGAGGAUUAGAGACGAUAGAGGAGAAGCGAGGGGAUGCACCUGGGUGAAAGGGAAUGUUAAGAACAGAGGAGAUUAAUAAUUGUAUGAUUUGCGAGUUUAAUUAUUCAUGGCGUUGGAGGGACAGGGGGUCUGUCUCAGAAGAACAUUUAUGAAACUAUUAGGAGGGAGGCGAUUGAUGGGAAGGCGAGGGGUAUAUGGGUGGGGAAAAUUACAAUGAUGUGUCAAUUACUGUGAAAAGUCCAGUCCGAUGAGGGAAAUUACCAAUUCACGACAGAUUGGCGAGACGAGGAGUGAAGGUAGAGGAGGGGUAAUUAAUAAACGGUGGGGCAACAAGACACUUUCGAAACUCUGGAGAACGCAUUAGUGAUUCUCAAAGAGACGCUCUAAACCACGGAAGCAGCUACCAAAGGAGGAAAGUUUAAGAAAAAGUCAACAAUCAGAAGGGAUAAUCAUCGGAAGCACUAAACAAAUUGGAUGUGUAUGUUUUACUUGGAGAAUCAUCGGCAUGAGCUA